GAGACCACUGAAUAUUUUGGAGUUUCUACA
Molecule: non-coding RNA, 30 nt
Filed under: Mus musculus (house mouse)
Lineage: Eukaryota; Metazoa; Chordata; Mammalia; Rodentia; Muridae
Source: RNAcentral